GGUGAGGGAUUCCUGUAUAAACAACCCCUGUGCCCUGCCCCAGAGGUGGCUGCAUCACAGCACUAGGGUGGGAUAUCUGUAUAAACAGCCCCUGUGCGCCACCACAGACACAAUGGGGUGGGGAACAGGCUGGGAGGCCUUUCCCCCCUAGGGGGUGCUGGUGUGUGGAGGGGUGAUUGCCUGCUUAUGGGGAUCCUACUGUGUUCCACAAUGUGUCUUGUCUUUUAUUUUGCUUUUUAUACACUCAGUUAUGCUGAAGCAUUAAGUAUUUAUUGUAAUUUUGGGCUCUUUUAAGGAGCGUUCAUGACAGCACUCUGGGCUCUGUUCCAGCUUGGAGACAGGAUCGGGAAGAGGGAAAAGCCAGAGAGCCUGGGGGCCAAGAAUAAUGGGUCCUGUGGGGGGAGAGGGAUUGUAGGCAGAGCUUUCUGGUCUGAAAGAGGACAGCGAUAACGCUGAUGAGACAGAAGAGCUCAGGACAUGAGACCAGGGCUUUGCCCCUCUAAGGGGUGCCAGCUCGGAUCCAUCCCAAGCACUGGCUGGCUCAAACUCUGGGCAGUGGGCCAGGGGCCUUUCCCUUCUGGGGGCGCUGGUCCCAGGUUACUUGCUGGGGGAGCAGGCAGGGCCCGGGUGGGCUUUUUCUUGCUGAGCUAGGAUUGUAUCUGGGUCACAUUUUUUUUCUUUUAAUGUAUAAGCCCAAAAUGCUUCUUCACUCUCACUGCUGUCAGGUGCCCAGCGGGCACUGGCACGCACGGGUCAUUUCUACCCGGCGUGUGCUCACUGCUCUCCUUCGUCUUCCAUGGAGCGUUGCGGGAAAAUGUUCCACACCAGGGCAAUAAAUGGGGAUCGCUUCAGGGUCCGAGGCCGGAAGAGACCGUUGUGAUCAUCUCAUCGGACCGCCUGCAUAGAGCAGGCCAGAACUGCCCCCAAAUAAUUCCUGGAGCAGAGCUUUCAGCAUGGGGCUGCAGGGAUAGACAGAGGGGUCUGUAUGGGGAUGGAGCGAGAGAUGCAAGGAUGGAGAAAGAGAAUCCCAGUGGGAAGAGUCCGUGGGAGCAGAGCCACAUGGAACAUCCUGGAGCAGGGAGGGG
Molecule: long non-coding RNA, 1085 nt
Filed under: Gopherus agassizii (Agassiz's desert tortoise)
Lineage: Eukaryota; Metazoa; Chordata; Testudines; Testudinidae
Description: lncRNA (ENSGAGG00000015171.1)
Source: RNAcentral